UGCUGCUGCCUCUUGCACCAACACGAACUAUUCUUUCGCCUUUUACUAAAGAAUACCGUGUGCUCGCAGCUCAAGGCAGCAUACGCCUAUUUUUGGAGGCUUAAUUCCUUUAUUGGAGU
RNAcentral lists this small nuclear RNA (119 nucleotides) under Gossypium hirsutum (cotton). Its description in RNAcentral is "U5 spliceosomal RNA". It matches the Rfam family "U5 spliceosomal RNA". From Rfam's summary of the family: U5 RNA is a component of both types of known spliceosome. The precise function of this molecule is unknown, though it is known that the 5' loop is required for splice site selection and p220 binding, and that both the 3' stem-loop and the Sm site are important for Sm protein binding and cap methylation. Lineage: Eukaryota; Viridiplantae; Streptophyta; Magnoliopsida; Malvales; Malvaceae. The record is from Rfam by way of RNAcentral.